Molecule: ribosomal RNA, 1651 nt
Filed under: Triticum aestivum (bread wheat)
Lineage: Eukaryota; Viridiplantae; Streptophyta; Magnoliopsida; Poales; Poaceae
Description: partial small subunit ribosomal RNA
Source: RNAcentral
AAAAUCCUUGGCGAUCAGACUUGGACCAAGUCGCAGUGGUUCUGCCCGCUCGGAACCAAUUUGUGGCGGAGAAAGGGGAGAUUGGCGCUGAGAGUUGCCGCCGCAAAGGAUAGGUAGGGUCGCGCCGCCGCCGAGGAGGACCCGCAGGGUCGCGCUGCCGCCGCCCAAGUGAAGCGCUCCGCCUCACCGCGGUGGUAAUCAGCGCCGCCGAGCCCCCGCGGGAACCAGCUCCGCCGAGUCGCCGGGGAACUAGAAGAGCGUCGCCGUGCGCCGGGUAGCAGCAACUUGCCGCCACGGUCCACGGAGGAGCGCCACCCUGACCACCAUGUCCGGUUUCCCAGAAUUAAGUGUUGUGCAAUGGCAGAAAUUGGAAAGAGGACACCCAAAGUUGGUAUGAGGUUCAGAGAAUCGGAAGAGGUUUGGGAGUUUUGGGUAGAUUAUGGGGGGUCACAUCGGCUUUGAUGCGAGGAAAAGAUCCACAAUCAAAAGCAGAUGUGAUGGUGUGAUUACUUCACGCUGGUUUGUUUGUUCCAAUGAAGGCCAUCGAAGGAAAAACUCCUAUGUUGGUGGAAGCAAGCGAAGUAUACACUCCGAUUAUUUUGAGGCUUUCUAAGGUUGCAUGGAGAUUUACAGUUUGAGGAGGAGCGCAUAGUGGUAGGUGAUCCUUUGACCAAAACGGUUUCAUGUAGUUGUGGGAUGUUCAAUAGAACAGGAAUCUUGUGUGCACAUGGUCUAAAAGUGCUUGAUUUGAUGAACAUAAAGACAUUGCCGGCACAUUAUGUCUUGAAGAGGUCGACUAGAGAAGCUCGCAAUGGAAGUAUUGAAGAUAGACAAGGAAGGAAUGUGGUAGAAAAUCCAAAAAUGGAAGCUGAACUUCGAUACAAGGAUUUGUCUCAUAAAUUUCACAAAAUGGCACAAAAAGCAGCCAACUCUCCACAAUGUUGUAUUCUAUUGGAUAAUGCACUUGAUUCCGCCGCUCCGCAUAUACAUGAUUUACUCAAUGCAUCCACUAGUGCCAUGAAUGAACUAUGUAAAGACAAAGAGAAUGUUGACCCAAAUGUGCAGUAAGUAGAUGAGUUGCUUAGAUCUGCACGGCUGAACAAAAAAGAGGUUCAGUCAAAGAACUUAAGGAGAAAGAAAAAUUGGCUUGACAAGUUACUCAAGGGGAAGCACAGAGUAACUAAAGGACCAACAAAACAGGGAGAAAAGCCACAAAGGAAGAAGGAUGACAACAAAAGAAAAAAGAUGGUGUGCAGCCUCAAGUAGAAGUGGAGAAGUAUGACAACAACAAAGAAGUAAAUUUGGUGCUUCAAGAGUGCAAUAAUAUUAUGAGUUUCACCCAACUCUUGACGGCUGACCAUGAUAAUCUGUUCUAGCAUGGAAGCUCCUUAGAUAAUGUUUUGUACAUGGUGGUAAUGAUGAUGAUUAUCUGUUCUAGCAUGGAACUUGUUAGAUACAGUAGUAUUUUGGACAUGGUUAACUAUAGUAGUAUGGGGUUAACUAUAUUAUUUUGUAGCCUAAGUGUACAAGCAAGUGGUACUGAAUUUGAAUGUAUUGACCUUUUGAAUUACAAGCAAGUGGCACUGAAUUUCAAUCAAGUGGUACUUAGUUUGUAUUGUUAAAUUACUGCUGUUUUUGUUGCUAUAUGACC